This 419-nucleotide ribosomal RNA is filed under the name bacterium enrichment culture clone ALO1_GLFRUDD03FRKNL. RNAcentral describes it as "bacterial SSU rRNA". It matches the Rfam family "Bacterial small subunit ribosomal RNA", at positions 9 to 429 of the family's 1533-position model. The record is from RNAcentral.
GAGUUUGAUCUUGGCUCAGAUUGAACGCUGGCGGCAUGCCUUACACAUGCAAGUCGAACGGCAGCACGGGAGCUUGCUCCUGGUGGCGAGUGGCGAACGGGUGAGUAAUGCAUCGGAACGUAUCCUGGAGUGGGGGAUAACGUAGCGAAAGUUACGCUAAUACCGCAUAUUCUGUGAGCAGGAAAGCGGGGGGACCUUCGGGCCUCGCGCUCUUGGAGCGGCCGAUGUCGGAUUAGCUAGUUGGUGAGGUAAAGGCUCACCAAGGCGACGAUCCGUAGCAGGUCUGAGAGGAUGAUCUGCCACACUGGAACUGAGACACGGUCCAGACUCCUACGGGAGGCAGCAGUGGGGAAUUUUGGACAAUGGGGGCAACCCUGAUCCAGCCAUGCCGCGUGAGUGAAGAAGGCCUCGGUUGUAAG